GACGAACGCUGGCGGCGUGCUUAACACAUGCAAGUCGAACGGAAAGGCCCUGCUUUUGUGGGGUGCUCGAGUGGCGAACGGGUGAGUAACACGUGAGUAACCUGCCCUUGACUUUGGGAUAACUUCAGGAAACUGGGGCUAAUACCGGAUAGGAGCUCCUGCUGCAUGGUGGGGGUUGGAAAGUUUCGGCGGUUGGGGAUGGACUCGCGGCUUAUCAGCUUGUUGGUGGGGUAGUGGCUUACCAAGGCUUUGACGGGUAGCCGGCCUGAGAGGGUGACCGGCCACAUUGGGACUGAGAUACGGCCCAGACUCCUACGGGAGGCAGCAGUGGGGAAUAUUGCACAAUGGGCGGAAGCCUGAUGCAGCAACGCCGCGUGCGGGAUGACGGCCUUCGGGUUGUAAACCGCUUUCGCCUGUGACGAAGCGUGAGUGACGGUAAUGGGUAAAGAAGCACCGGCUAACUACGUGCCAGCAGCCGCGGUGAUACGUAGGGUGCGAGCGUUGUCCGGAUUUAUUGGGCGUAAAGGGCUCGUAGGUGGUUGAUCGCGUCGGAAGUGUAAUCUUGGGGCUUAACCCUGAGCGUGCUUUCGAUACGGGUUGACUUGAGGAAGGUAGGGGAGAAUGGAAUUCCUGGUGGAGCGGUGGAAUGCGCAGAUAUCAGGAGGAACACCAGUGGCGAAGGCGGUUCUCUGGGCCUUUCCUGACGCUGAGGAGCGAAAGCGUGGGGAGCGAACAGGCUUAGAUACCCUGGUAGUCCACGCUGUAAACGGUGGGUACUAGGUGUGGGGUCCAUUCCACGGGUUCCGUGCCGUAGCUAACGCUUUAAGUACCCCGCCUGGGGAGUACGGCCGCAAGGCUAAAACCCAAAGGAAUUGACGGGGCCCCGCACAAGCGGCGGAGCAUGCGGAUUAAUUCGAUGCAACGCGUAGAACCUUACCUGGGUUUGACAUGGAUCGGGAGUGCUCAGAGAUGGGUGUGCCUCUUUUGGGGUCGGUUCACAGGUGGUGCAUGGCUGUCGUCAGCUCGUGUCGUGAGAUGUUGGGUUAAGUCCCGCAACGAGCGCAACCCUUGUUCACUGUUGCCAGCACGUUAUGGUGGGGACUCAGUGGAGACCGCCGGGGUCAACUCGGAGGAAGGUGGGGAUGACGUCAAGUCAUCAUGCCCCUUAUGUCCAGGGCUUCACGCAUGCUACAAUGGCUGGUACAGAGAGUGGCGAGUCUGUGAGGGUGAGCGAAUCUCGGAAAGCCGGUCUCAGUUCGGAUUGGGGUCUGCAACUCGACCUCAUGAAGUCGGAGUCGCUAGUAAUCGCAGAUCAGCAACGCUGCGGUGAAUACGUUCCCGGG
RNAcentral lists this ribosomal RNA (1343 nucleotides) under uncultured bacterium. RNAcentral describes it as "16S ribosomal RNA". It matches the Rfam family "Bacterial small subunit ribosomal RNA", at positions 28 to 1378 of the family's 1533-position model. The record is from RNAcentral.